RNAcentral lists this ribosomal RNA (253 nucleotides) under uncultured bacterium. Its description in RNAcentral is "partial 16S ribosomal RNA". It matches the Rfam family "Bacterial small subunit ribosomal RNA", at positions 524 to 776 of the family's 1533-position model. The record is from RNAcentral.
UACGUAGGGUGCGAGCGUUAAUCGGAAUUACUGGGCGUAAAGGGUGCGUAGGCGGCGCGGUAAGUCGGGUGUGAAAUCUCGGAGCUUAACUCCGAAACUGCAUUCGAUACUGCCGUGCUUGAGGACUGGAGAGGAGACUGGAAUUUACGGUGUAGCGGUGAAAUGCGUAGAUAUCGUAAGGAAGACCAGUGGCGAAGGCGGGUCUCUGGACAGUUCCUGACGCUGAGGCACGAAGGUCAGGGGAGCAAACGGG